ACGGGAGGCAGCAGUGGGGGAUAUUGCACAAUGGGGGAAACCCUGAUGCAGCGACGCCGCGUGAGUGAUGAAGUAUUUCGGUAUGUAAAGCUCUAUCAGCAGGAAAGAUAAUGACGGUACCUGACUAAGAAGCACCGGCUAAAUACGUGCCAGCAGCCGCGGUAAUACGUAUGGUGCAAGCGUUAUCCGGAUUUACUGGGUGUAAAGGGCGUGUAGGCGGAGAGGCAAGUCAGACGUGAAAUCCCGGGGCUCAACCCCGGAACUGCAUUUGAAACUGUCUCCCUUGAGUAUCGGAGAGGCAAGCGGAAUUCCUAGUGUAGCGGUGAAAUGCGUAGAUAUUAGGAGGAACACCAGUGGCGAAGGCGGCUUGCUGGACGACAACUGACGCUGAGGCGCGAAAGCGUGGGGAGCAAACAGGAUUAGAUACCCUGGUA
This 434-nucleotide ribosomal RNA is filed under the name uncultured Lachnospiraceae bacterium. RNAcentral's name for it is "partial 16S ribosomal RNA". It matches the Rfam family "Bacterial small subunit ribosomal RNA", at positions 341 to 792 of the family's 1533-position model. Lineage: Bacteria; Bacillati; Bacillota; Clostridia; Lachnospirales; Lachnospiraceae. The record is from RNAcentral.